Molecule: ribosomal RNA, 206 nt
Filed under: uncultured bacterium
Lineage: Bacteria
Description: partial 16S ribosomal RNA
Rfam family: Bacterial small subunit ribosomal RNA
Source: RNAcentral
ACGCGUAGGCGUUUAUGUAAGUUAUUUGUUAAAGCUCUCUACUUAAUGGAGAAAAGCAAGUAAUACUGCGUAAAUUGAGACAGAAAGAGGAGAGGGAAUUCCUGGUGGAGCGGUGAAAUGCGUUGAUAUCAGGAGGAACACCGAGUGCGAAGGCACCUCUCUGGUUCUUGUCUGACGCUAAGGCUCGAAAGCGUGGGUAGCAAAAC